CUCUGUCCUACCCCCUCUGUCCUCAGACCUCUGUCCUCAGACCCUCUGUCCUCAGACCCUCUGUCCUUACACCCUCUGUCCUUACACCCUCUGUCCUCAGACCCUCUGUCCUUACACCCUCUGUCCUUACACCCUCUGUCCUCAGACCCUCUGUCCUCAGACCCUCUGUCCUUACACCCUCUGUCCUUACACCCUCUGUCCUUACACCCUCUGUCCUCAGACCCCUCUGUCCUCAGACCCCUCUGUCCUCAGACCCCUCUGUCCUCAGACCCUCUGUCCUCAGACCCUCUGUCCUCAGACCCUCUGUCCUUACACCCUCUGUCCUCAGACCCUCUGUCCUCAGACCCUCUGUCCUUACACCCUCUGUCCUUACAGGACCCUCUGUCCUCAGACCCUCUGUCCUCAGACCCUCUGUCCUACAACCCUCUGUCCUUACACCCUC
Molecule: long non-coding RNA, 442 nt
Filed under: Cottoperca gobio
Lineage: Eukaryota; Metazoa; Chordata; Actinopteri; Perciformes; Bovichtidae
Description: lncRNA (ENSCGOG00000001447.1)
Source: RNAcentral